UACAGAGGUCCCGAGCGUUGUUCGGAUUCAUUGGGCGUAAAGGGUGUGUAGGAGGUAGGGUAAGUCAGGUGUGAAAUCUCGCCGCUCAACGGCGAAACUGCACUUGAUACUGCUCUGCUAGAGGGCUGGAGGGGGUAGCGGAAUUCUCGGUGUAGCAGUGAAAUGCGUAGAUAUCGAGAGGAACACCGGUGGCGUAGGCGGCUACCUGGAAAGCACCUGACUCUGAAACACGAAAGCUAGGGGAGCAAAC
RNAcentral lists this ribosomal RNA (250 nucleotides) under uncultured bacterium. RNAcentral describes it as "partial 16S ribosomal RNA". It matches the Rfam family "Bacterial small subunit ribosomal RNA", at positions 524 to 773 of the family's 1533-position model. The record is from RNAcentral.